AGUGAACGCUGGCGGUAGGCCUAACACAUGCAAGUCGAACGGCAGCACAGUAAGAGCUUGCUCUUACGGGUGGCGAGUGGCGGACGGGUGAGGAAUACAUCGGAAUCUACUUUUUCGUGGGGGAUAACGUAGGGAAACUUACGCUAAUACCGCAUACGACCUACGGGUGAAAGCAGGGGAUCUUCGGACCUUGCGCGAUUGAAUGAGCCGAUGUCGGAUUAGCUAGUUGGCGGGGUAAAGGCCCACCAAGGCGACGAUCCGUAGCUGGUCUGAGAGGAUGAUCAGCCACACUGGAACUGAGGCACGGUCCAGAGUCCUACGGGAGGCAGCAGUGGGGAAUAUUGGACAAUGGGCGCAAGCCUGAUCCAACCAUACCGCGUGGGUGAAGAAGGCGUUCGGGUUGUAAAGACCUGUUGUUGGGAAAGAAAAGCAGCAGGUUAAUACCCCGCUGUUCUGACGGUACCCAAAGAAUAAGCACCGGCUAACUUCGUG
Molecule: ribosomal RNA, 492 nt
Filed under: uncultured bacterium
Lineage: Bacteria
Description: partial 16S ribosomal RNA
Rfam family: Bacterial small subunit ribosomal RNA
Source: RNAcentral